AUUUACAUAUUUUAUUAGAAUUUAAUAUUGAAGAUAUUAAGGAGGUUAUAUUUACCUGUGAAUAA
This 65-nucleotide transfer RNA is filed under the name Sosibia ovata. RNAcentral describes it as "tRNA-Phe". The record is from RNAcentral. Lineage: Eukaryota; Metazoa; Arthropoda; Insecta; Phasmatodea; Lonchodidae.